Molecule: ribosomal RNA, 253 nt
Filed under: uncultured bacterium
Lineage: Bacteria
Description: partial 16S ribosomal RNA
Rfam family: Bacterial small subunit ribosomal RNA
Source: RNAcentral
UACGUAGGGGGCAAGCGUUGUCCGGAUUUAUUGGGCGUAAAGCGCUCGCAGGUGGUCCGUCGCGUCGUGCGUGAAAGCCCCCGGCUCAACUGGGGAGGGUCAUUCGAUACUGUCCGACUCGAAGGCAGGAGAGGGAAGCGGAAUUCCCGGUGUAGUGGUGAAAUGCGUAGAUAUCGGGAGGAACACCAGUGGCGAAGGCGGCUUUCUGGCCUGUUCUUGACGCUGAGGCGCGAAAGCUAGGGGAGCGAACGGG